UACGUAGGGGGCAAGCGUUGUCCGGAACUAUUGGGCGUAAAGCGCGCGCAGGCGGUUCCUUAAGGCUGAUGUGACAGCCCACGGCUCAACCGUGGAGGGUCAUUGGAAACUGGGGAACUUGAGGACAGAAGAGGAGAGUGGAAUUCCACGGGUAGCGGUGAAAUGCGUAGAUAUGUGGAGGAACACCAGUGGCGAAGGCGACUCUCUGGUCUGUUUCUGACGCUGAGGUGCGAAAGCGUGGGUAGCGAACAGG
This 253-nucleotide unclassified non-coding RNA is filed under the name uncultured Bacillaceae bacterium. Its description in RNAcentral is "contains 16S-23S intergenic spacer region". It matches the Rfam family "Bacterial small subunit ribosomal RNA", at positions 524 to 776 of the family's 1533-position model. Lineage: Bacteria; Bacillati; Bacillota; Bacilli; Caryophanales; Bacillaceae. The record is from RNAcentral.